Molecule: ribosomal RNA, 484 nt
Filed under: uncultured bacterium
Lineage: Bacteria
Description: partial 16S ribosomal RNA
Rfam family: Bacterial small subunit ribosomal RNA
Source: RNAcentral
AUUGAACGCUGGCGGCAGGCCUAACACAUGCAAGUCGAGCGGAAGAAGGGAGCUUGCUCCUGGAGUCAGCGGCGGGAGGGUGUGUAAUGCCUAGGAAUAUGCCUGGCAGUGGGGGAUAACGUCCUGAGACGGGCGCUAAUACCGCAUACGUCGUGAGGGAGAAAGAGGGGGGGCGUCGGACCGCACGCUAGCAGGGGAGCCGAGGUGGGAUUAGCUAGUUGGUGGGGUAAAGGGCUUCCCAGCCGACGAUCCGUAACUGGUCUGAGAGGAUGAUCAGUCACCUCGGAACUGGGCCACGGUCCAGGCUCCUACGGGAGGCAGCAGUGUGGAAUAUUGGACAGUGGUCGGAAGCCUGAUCCAGCCAUGCCGCGUGUGUGACGGAGGUCUUCGGAUUGUAAAGCACUUUUAGUUGGGAGGAAGGGCAGUAAGUUAAUACCUUGCUGUUUUGACGUUACCAACAGAAUAAGCACCGGCUAACUUCGUG